UACGGGAGGCAGCAGUGGGGAAUCUUGGGCAAUGGGCGAAAGCCUGACCCAGCGACGCCGCGUUGGGGAUGAAGCCCUUCGGGGUGUAAACCCAUGUUGUAGGGGACGAAGAAAGUGACGGUACCCUACGAGGAAGCCCCGGCUAACUACGUGCCAGCAGCCGCGGUAAU
RNAcentral lists this ribosomal RNA (170 nucleotides) under uncultured bacterium. RNAcentral's name for it is "partial 16S ribosomal RNA". It matches the Rfam family "Bacterial small subunit ribosomal RNA", at positions 340 to 524 of the family's 1533-position model. The record is from RNAcentral.